RNAcentral lists this ribosomal RNA (27 nucleotides) under Cadophora sp. Js_4025. RNAcentral's name for it is "partial 18S ribosomal RNA". Lineage: Eukaryota; Fungi; Ascomycota; Leotiomycetes; Helotiales; Ploettnerulaceae. The record is from RNAcentral.
UUCGUAGGUGAAACUGCGGAGGGAUCA